AAGCUCGUCCCGACACUGGCCUCCCACAGCUCAGUGUUCUCACGUUAUCUUCUCCAGAAGUCCGAUUUCACAUGGACAGUGAGACUCAUGAUCCUAUCAAUCUGCAAACUGAAGAAUUAAAGCUACACAUCUGACGCCAUGAGCCUGCGA
Molecule: long non-coding RNA, 150 nt
Organism: Mobula hypostoma (lesser devil ray)
Lineage: Eukaryota; Metazoa; Chordata; Chondrichthyes; Myliobatiformes; Myliobatidae
Exons: 3
Source: RefSeq, a predicted model, not a curated record